This 254-nucleotide ribosomal RNA is filed under the name uncultured bacterium. Its description in RNAcentral is "partial 16S ribosomal RNA". It matches the Rfam family "Bacterial small subunit ribosomal RNA", at positions 524 to 776 of the family's 1533-position model. The record is from RNAcentral.
UACAGAGGUCUCAAGCGUUUGUUCGGAUUCAUUGGGCGUAAAGGGUGCGUAGGUGGCGUGGUAAGUCGGAUGUGAAAUCCCGGGGCUCAACCCCGGAACUGCAUUCGAUACUGCCAUGCUAGAGUACUGGAGAGGAGAUUGGAAUUUACGGUGUAGCAGUGAAAUGCGUAGAUAUCGUAAGGAAGACCAGUGGCGAAGGCGGAUCUCUGGACAGUUACUGACACUGAGGCACGAAGGCCAGGGGAGCAAACGGG